RNAcentral lists this ribosomal RNA (326 nucleotides) under uncultured eukaryote. RNAcentral's name for it is "partial 18S ribosomal RNA". It matches the Rfam family "Eukaryotic small subunit ribosomal RNA", at positions 1470 to 1796 of the family's 1831-position model. The record is from RNAcentral.
CCCUUAGAUGUUCUGGGCCGCACGCGCGCUACACUGAUGCAUUCAACGAGCCUAUCCUUGACCGACAGGUCCGGGUAAUCUUUGAAUCUGCAUCGUGACGGGGAUAGAUUAUUGCAAUUAUUAAUCUUCAACGAGGAAUGCCUAGUAGGCGCAAGUCAUCAGCUUGCGUUGAUUACGUCCCUGCCCUUUGUACACACCGCCCGUCGCUCCUACCGAUUGAAUGGUCCGGUGAAGCGUUUGGACUAUGGUUUUCUGAUGGUCCGCCGUUGGAUUACCGUGGGAAGUUCGUUAAACCUUAUCAUUUAGAGGAAGGAGAAGUCGUAACA